Solanum tuberosum (potato) is the source of this 2216-nucleotide long non-coding RNA. RefSeq lists it as uncharacterized. The record is from RefSeq and is a predicted model, not a curated record. NCBI's taxonomy places the organism in Eukaryota, Viridiplantae, Streptophyta, Magnoliopsida, Solanales, Solanaceae. The transcript is spliced from 2 exons.
CCUAAUAAGACGGUGCUCCUGUAAUAUUGAAUUGUCAUUUUAUUAUAUGCAUAAAAAGAUACAAUUGUUAUUCUGCUUGAUAUUUAAUUUACUUUAUGUAUAAAAUAAAUAUAUUAUUUUACUUGUCCAUUAAAUCCCCUCCACAUGGCUAAAUAUCAAACACAAUUACUAAAUAUCUUCUGUCUAGAAAUUUCCACUCAUACCUUUAAAUAACCCUUCAUCUGCAAUGGAUUCUGGCAUAUCGGUCUCCCCUUCAUAUUACUCCAAUUCUAUAUGGAAGUUCAUGAGGCUUUACUAUUAUUGUUAUAUAUAACUUUAGUGCUUUAUAUUAAUUUAAUUUACGUUUAUGCGUUGCAUAUGGUGAAGGUCCAUAGUUGAGCGAAUCACCUUAUAGUUGUUAGCUAUUGCUGACUCUUUUUUGAUAAUUAAUAAAAAAAUUCUUCGGGGGAACAGGGAAGUGAAACAGUUGGUACAGAGGUUCCUUUUUUCAUAUUCCGUAAGUUGUUCAUAAGUUAGGACAUGAUUUUCUUGUGUACUACAAUGUAGCAGGCAAAUAUGUCUUCUUUAUUUCUGUUUGUAGCCUCCUUCGCUUGAAAUUUCGUAUAAGAUGACUGUGCCUCCUAUAUAUCAUGGGGUUAUCAAUUCUGCUAUUAUACUCUUAAAGAACUAUGAAUCCAAAAUGAGUUGUUGAUCAGAAAGAUAAAAGAAUAUCCCUUAGAACACUAUAGUUGUCCAUGAUAGUUCCAAAAGAAUUGAAAAUUGUGCCUAAAUGUUAUUAGGAGUGGAGUAGUCAGAGUCACUUCUUCUAUUUUAUUUUCUGUACUCUUCAUCAAUGAAUGAUUCAUUUUCAAGUUCUUGGAUAACGUUAGGCUCGAUCAAUUUAACUAAGAGGAAAUAAGAAGAAUUUUCGAGUAAAAUAUAAGAAGAGAAAGGAGAACAUGCAUGGUACAUAAUGAGGAUUAGACUUGAGUAGUAAUUUAACAGAAGGCUGUACAGGUCUUGUUCAGUCACCAAAUCUACACUACACUCUAAAUCGAAGAAGCUCAAAAUAGUAAUAUGAGGUUUGAGAAUAUGAGAUAAAAAUUUAAGAGGAUUAAAAGAGAAUCUAAUCCUAAACUUCCGUGAAUCUUCUUAUUUAAUUUUGAAGAGGCACAAAAAAAUUAUGUUAACAUGAAGAAAAGUACAUUUCGGAUGAACUCAACCGUCCUGUAUGCAAAAAUCAAGAGUGUAUAUUACCAAUUUUAGUUUUCUCCAUUCUUUUUGCCAAGUUUCUUUUCUUAUCUGGAGUAGUAUAGGAAUAUUCAUAUGUUGUCCUUCGAUUACGCCUUUCAGCCUAGCCGUAAGAACUGAAAUGUCACAAUAUUUUUUUGACUUCGUGGUGUUGAAAUGUGGCACACAGUUAGUAAGGAGUCAAAUGGUUUUAACAUUGUAACAAAUAUAGUUAUGCCCACAAUCAAAUCAAAGAAAGCACAACUGCUUGGCAACUAUAAGGCCAGUACAUGAAUUGCACAUUAAUUUUUGUUUGCUAUUUAUCAAUUAUUGAACUUAAAUGGAAAAAAAACUAUAUGUUGUUUGUUACUAUUUUCAUUCCAUAUUCUCUUCUGCAAUACUUUUUAAAUCAGCCUUUCAUUUUUAGCAUUUUUAAUUUCUCGUGAAUUCCUUAUCAAAUAGCAUAGAAAUAUACAUAGCAGAAGAAAAGUAUUUUCCAUACAGACAAUCAUUUUAUACACUUUUUUAAGUAAAGAAAAUGGGAUCCCAAUAUAGUGGAGAGAAGUUCCCACUAUAUUGUGUGGCAAGAACGAGUUCGAAUAAAAAAAAUAAAGAUAGUACAGGCUACUGGCUACAGCAGUAUAAAGAUUCUUAUGGAUUUAAGUAGUAGAUACUUUAUAAGUAGUAGACUGUAACAAAAUGUUCAAAUUGAACUACAGUAACUAAGUGUGGAAUGCAAAAUGACGUUGGAGCAUAUUUGGUUGGUGGCCUGGAUGAAAUAAUAUGAGAUAAGUCAUGCACUGAUAAGAAUAAUGACUUAGUUGCGGCUAAGUGCAAUGGUACUUCAAUUCACAUGAAUUCUGUUUGGUAUUAUUGGUGUUUGCGUUAUUUUUUCAUAGUAUUGAAGGAUGGUUAGUUUGGUAAAUUACUUACUUCCAAGGAUUUUGUUGUACUAUGAGAAGGAGGAGAAAGAAUGACUUGCCUGAUAAAUAUCGGUGGAAGAAUGA